This 468-nucleotide ribosomal RNA is filed under the name uncultured bacterium. RNAcentral's name for it is "partial 16S ribosomal RNA". It matches the Rfam family "Bacterial small subunit ribosomal RNA", at positions 28 to 507 of the family's 1533-position model. The record is from RNAcentral.
GACGAACGCUGGCGGCGUGCUUAACACAUGCAAGUCGAACGGAAAGGCCCUGCUGUUGUGGGGUGCUCGAGUGGCGAACGGGUGAGUAACACGGGAGUAACCUGCCCUUGGGUUUGGGAUAACUUCAGGAAACUGGGGCUAAUACCGGAUAGGAGCUCCUGCUGCACGGUGGGGGUUGGAAAGUUUCGGCGGUUGGGGAUGGACUCGCGGCUUAUCAGCUUGUUGGUGGGGUAGUGGCUUACCAAGGCUUUGACGGGUAGCCGGCCUGAGAGGGUGACCGGCCACAUUGGGACUGAGAUACGGCCCAGACUCCUCCGGGAGGCAGCAGUGGGGAAUAUUGCACAAUGGGCGGAAGCCUGAUGCAGCAACGCCGCGUGCGGGAUGACGGCCUUCGGGUUGUAAACCGCUUUCGCCUGUGACGAAGCGUGAGUGACGGUAAUGGGUGAAGAAGCACCGGCUAACUACGUG